AGUUCCGGGGCAAGAGGUUGCCCCUCCGGCCGCGCGAAGCCGCGGUGCGUGCGUCCCGCCCCUACCGGACCCCGCAGAGCCAGCCCCGUCCCAUCCCUACAGGACCCCGCAGGGCCUCCCAGUGACCCCUGCCUAGCCCGCCCCAACCCCACAGGACCCCGCAGGGCCGUCCUACCCCUACAGGACCCCGCCCCGCGGUGACCUGUAGAGCUCGCCCCGCCCCCACAGGACCCCGCAGAGUCUCCCAAUGACACGUAGAGCCCGUCCAGCCCCCACAGGACCACAGAGCCAGCCUCGCUGUCACCGGACCCUGCAGAGGCCCGUCCUGCCCCCAGAGGACCCCGCCCAGCUACUUGGUGACCCCCCAAAGCCACUCUGUACCCCCGCAGGACACCACAGAGCCACUUUGUUCCCUCUAGAACCCCCUGCCAGUCUCUGUACCUCCACAGGACCCCACCAAACCUCUACAUCCCCACAGGACCGCCCUUCAUAGGACCCCGCUGAACCUCUCAGUACCUCCAUACAGUACCUCCAUAGGACCCUGCUCCUCCAUUCCAGGACCCCACAGCGCUGGUCUCUAUGCCCUACCCCCCACCCCAGUCUCAGGGCCUCACCUCCCCAGUUAUUCCCGCUUUUACGGUUUUGGGACCCACUGGGCCUACUCCUCCCCUCUCCAACAUGCAUCUUGUUCUCUCCUCCUGUGUCCCUCCCUCUCAGCACAGACCCCCAGGGGGUGGAGACUGAGGCCUGAGCCUUGGGUGUGGUGAAGCCAGGUCAAGGAGCAAGAUGGUGGAGGGUUGGUGCUAGGAGCCAGGGCUGGAGACAACAGACAGCGGAGGCUUCUGACUGGGAUGCUGAUGUGGAGGGCAGUGGUCACAGGAGUAGUGAGGAGCAUGUUGCUCACAGGGGCCAGCCAUCGGGCAACAGUCUGGUUAGUGGCUGGAAGGUGGCCUAACUUGCUGCCUGCCAUCUACCAAGGGGCCCUGGGAGCCUUGGGGACCCUACCCCACCUGAUCCUGAUCCUUCCCCUAGAGCCUCAGAGGUGAAGACCCACAGCCUGCUGAAGGUCAAGAUGGACAGCAAGCAGCUGUGGGCACAGCAGUCACAGCCCACUCAAGAGCAUAGGCAGCCCUUUCCCCCUGGGGGCCAGUCUAGGACCAGGGGCCAACCGGGUGCCCAGAGCAGUAACCAGCACGGAUUGCAAACGCAGUACUGGGUAAGUAAGAGGAGGCCACCUCUGGAAACCCGGACUUUGCGGGGGCUAGUUGGGGAGGGGAUCAGGCAGGGAAUACAGGGGCCUGAAUGGAGACAGAGGGGCAGUAUGCUCUUUCCCCACCAUCCUGUACCCUUUUUGCCUCUCUAUGCCGGGCAGAGUGGAGGCCCACCCGAGGUCGGGAAGAUGUCCAGUGCCCCUCACUCCUGGCCAAGAGAGUAUCUUGAAUUGGAGGGAGAACAAGCUUCCAGGGCAGGGAUGUGCUUGGUUCCCACAGUAGUGAGAGAGACAGACAGAUCCAGCUGUGCCUGCCCAUGGGCAUUCCCUGAGCCGAGGAAUCCAGACUACCUGUGUGGUUCCGCUUAGGGAAGGUUCAAAGCCAGGCCAGACAGGUCCAUACUUCUGUAAGACAGGAGCUCAAGGGCCUCCCAGGCUGCCAGGUGCUGGUCCUGCAGGCAGACAGUGCAGGCAGCCUUUUGAGUCAUGCAUUUGGGUCUGUGUGUGUCCAGCACGUGUGUCCACUGAAGUCAAGGGGGGGAGUAAGAAGGCUCUCUGAGCUGCCUGCAUGACUGCUCUGUGCCCUCCUGGGUACUUCCUUAUGUGGGACCCAGUACUGGGGCCACUGGGGUGAGGGACCAGCAAGACCCUUUAGCUACUGAGGGACUUGCCUUCUGAUAGGUGGUAUAGCCAGUAGGUACACAGGAGGAGUGGGCCUGGGCUAGCUUUGCACAAACCCCAGGGCCUUGCGGCAGAGAGAGCAGGGACAGGAGGAGACACUGCAGUGUCUUUCACACCUGGGUCCUUCCAGGGUUGCUCCUGUGCAAAGUUCCUUGGCCUCUCCCUUGCUUCUGACUGUGGCCCUGAAAGGCACCCAGACUGCCCUCUCUAACUUUCUGUCCCCUGGACGUAGAAUCUUUUUCUUCCAGAUCUUCCCUUAAUUGGCCUCUUCUCCGGUGUCACCUCCCAGGCUAACUUAAGUCCUUCAUCCUUCCCCUUUCCCAACCUGGGUCUCAAGAGCCACUGCCUCUGCUGUGCCUGACUACAGCCCCCAGUGCCAUGCGUGGUGCCAGAACAUACUCACAAAGAUGAGCAGCCUUGGGCUGACAUCAGGCCAAGGAGGUCUUCCCCAGCACAGGGUCUCCAGACCACCAGCCUAGACCAGUGGGUGAAGCUCCAGCUGUCGCACUUGUGCUUAAUGACAGCUAGUAGAAGGGUGGGGGGCUAGGGGUGGUGGUGGUAGUGCUGUAAGGAAGCUGGGAGCUGCAGGACUGGGACCGGGGUUGGGGGUGCACCAGGGUUACCACUGGGCAGGCCGGGCAGGUGAGUGAGGCAGCAGAAGCCAUACACCUCCCUCUGUCCUCAUGCCAGGGUCUGCCUUUCCUCCCCCGGAGUUGUAAGUGACCAGCCAUGGAGCACCAGACAUGUGAAGUCAGCCCUGUUUGGAAACCAUGUCCUGAUCAGUCUAGAGGCAUUGACUGGAAUCCAUCCACAGAAAGAGGGUUGGGAAGUUAGUAGCCUUUACAGACCCAAUAGCAGGCUCAAGAAGAUAACACACGGGCUGGGCUGGGGCUCAGCGGUAGAGCACCUGCCUGGCAUGUGUGAGGCCCUGGGUUCUGUCCUCAGCACCGCAUACAAAUAAAGGAAUAAAAUAAAAGUCUAUCAACAGCUAAAAAAAUUUUUAAAAAAGAAGGCCAAAAAAAAAAAACAAAAACAAAACUGGCAAAGAAGGCCACUUACAGUAGUACUAGUAGUAAAAUUAAAAAGUGUACAAAACCUUCCUGAGGGUGACUUUUAAAUACUGCCAAAGAAUCACAGAUCCCUGAGGAUGGAGAGAGAGCUCCGUGCUUGGACAGGGGCAUCCGGAAUUAGUGUGUUGCACUAAAAGUACUGGACUUCUGCCUCCUCCUUCAGCUCUGCAGCCUGGCCACAGAAGCACAAAUGGCCAGCAGGGCUUCCACCCUGGCUCCCACCCAGCAGAUGGGAAGGGUGUCCAUACUCCAGGGAAGGGAGGGCAGGAAAGAUGAAAAGGCCACUAUUCACAACAAGGUCUUCUCUACCUAGAAACACCCUCCCCCAGCCAAGGAACAACUCCAUACUCCUGAAUGAAAGAAGGCUUGAGUAGCUGCUAUGGGUGAAACCCUAGUUUCAAUAGCCUGAAAAAAACAGUCAGAAAAGCCUGGGAAGACUCCUGCUCGCUGUGGCAGCACUCGGGCAGCCCUGGCCACAUACCUCUGUGAGGAGCACUGAGUAGCUGAGCAAUACACAGAUACCUCACAAGACGAGAAGUUUUAGGUGUUAAUCUUACUUUAUGCAUGUGUGCAGCCCUGGGGAUUGAACCCCCGGGGUACCACUGAGUUAUAUCCUUAGCCCUUUUAUUUUUUGAGACAGGGUCUCACUAAGUUGCCCAGGCUAG
Molecule: long non-coding RNA, 3626 nt
Filed under: Marmota monax (woodchuck)
Lineage: Eukaryota; Metazoa; Chordata; Mammalia; Rodentia; Sciuridae
Source: RNAcentral